CUCGUAGGCGGUUCGUCGCGUCCGGUGUGAAAGCCCAUCGCUUAACGGUGGAUCCGCGCCGGGUACGGGCGGGCUUGAGUGCGGUAGGGGAGACUGGAAUUCCCGGUGUAACGGUGGAAUGUGUAGAUAUCGGGAAGAACACCAAUGGCGAAGGCAGGUCUCUGGGCCGUCACUGACGCUGAGGAGCGAAAGCGUGGGGAGCGAACA
Molecule: ribosomal RNA, 207 nt
Filed under: uncultured bacterium
Lineage: Bacteria
Description: partial 16S ribosomal RNA
Rfam family: Bacterial small subunit ribosomal RNA
Source: RNAcentral